This 23-nucleotide non-coding RNA is filed under the name Cricetulus griseus (Chinese hamster). Lineage: Eukaryota; Metazoa; Chordata; Mammalia; Rodentia; Cricetidae. The record is from RNAcentral.
UUUGUCACUGGCAAAGCAAAGCA